GUACACACCGCCCGUCACACCAUGAGAGUUGGAGAUACCCGAAGCCUGUGAGCUAACUUUUAGAGGCAGCAGUCGAAGGUAGAAUCAAUGAUUGGGGUGAAGUCGUAACAAGGUAGC
This 117-nucleotide ribosomal RNA is filed under the name uncultured bacterium. Its description in RNAcentral is "partial 16S ribosomal RNA". It matches the Rfam family "Bacterial small subunit ribosomal RNA", at positions 1383 to 1500 of the family's 1533-position model. The record is from RNAcentral.